AGGAAAAUGAUUUUUUUUUUAGUGUUAAAAAUUGGAUUCAUUCUAUACUAAAACAUUAUUUUUUUUCAAAAAAUAAAGGAGCUUAUUUUUUUAAUGAAAAAAAUGAAAAAGAUGAAAAAGAUCAGGCAAAUAAUAAUAUACUUAUUAAAGAAAUUUCAAAAAAAAAAAAUAAUUCAAUGAUUUUUAAUGUGUUAAAUAUCAAGGAUGAUAACAUGAACAACCGUGUUACACUCAAGGAAUCACACAAGGAGCUAUGUUGUGUUUUUGAAAAUAAUUUUUUAAAUUCCAAAACAUGUUCCGCUAUUAAUGUUAACUGUCGUACAGUGAAUAAUAGCAAAACUGAAAAUGUCAUUGGUGCGGUUUAUCAUGUGACGCAUGAUAUAGCAAAUGACAUAACACAUGGCACAAUAGUAACACACGACAUAAAGGAUAGUGUAUCAAAGUAUGUUAAUGAAACGGACGCUGUAAAAUAUAAAGAUGGAAUAAUAAAAAAAAGAGAAUAUGAUAUGUCAGCGAGUAACAGCAGCAAACCAAACGUUGACAAAAAAAGUAUUAACGACGUGGAUAAAUCAUCAAAAGAAAAGAAUUUAAAAGUUCGAGAAUUUAUAAAUUAUAUUAAUAGCAUAUUUUUAUCUUUAAAAAAAAUCGAAGACAUUGGGAAAUUAACUAAAUAUCUGGUAUUUAAUAAUAGUUUUGGUUUAUUAAAAAUAAUGAUAUUUUUUGUUUUAAUUUUUUUUAAUUUUUUUAUGUUUACUUUUGAUGCUAUAAUACAAGGUAUCAUUUUUUUUACAGCAUUAUAUUAUUUAAUAUUAUCAAAAAAGUCAGUAUUAAAUUUUUUAAAAGAUUUAUUAUUAGUAGUAGAUCCAUCUAGUAUUUUUUUUUAUAACAUAACCCAAAAUUUAAAAGCAAUCAUCAUAUGUACAUUAAAAAAAAUAUAUUUUUAUGCUAUGUACAUAUGGCUAAUUUUUUCAUUUUUUCAAUUUCCAAUUAUAUAUGUUCCUACAUUAAUGAGUAUUAUUUUGUCUUUAAUUCCUGUUAUAUCUCCUGAAAUCUUAAUUCUUAUUAUUAUAUUCGACUUAUGGAUUAUACAGAAAAAAAAAAUAUUAUCCAUUAUUUUAUUUAUGAUUAACUGUUUUAUUUAUUUAUAUUUUACCACUACCAUAUAUACUGAAAUACCUCAUACUCAUGCAUGGUUAGUUUCAUUAUCUGUGUUCUUAUCUAUUACUACUUUCGGUUCCAAAGGAUUGAUACUAGGCCCGCUAAUUGGAUCCAUUCCUAUCAUACUACACCAAACAGCCAUAAGUAAAAACAAAUAUAUUCAAAUGAUUACUAAAGCAAAUGAGAAAAAGCAGAGGAAAAAAAAACGAUUACACAGGGAAGCAUAUGUCACUGGGCAUUCAUACGGACAUAAAUACGUUGAAAUGUAUGAUACUGGUAGUGGUGGCGGAAGUAUAAGCAAUGGCGACAGCACUAGCAGUGAUAGUUGGGACAGUCAUUACGUUGGUAGUAACAGUAACAAUGACAAUGACAAUGACAGCAGUACCAGCAGUAGCAGUAGCAGUAGCAGUAGCAGUAGCAAUAGCAGUAGCAACAGCAUUAGCAGUAGCAACAGUAGCAACAGUAAAAGUAACAAUAACAAUAUUGUCCCAACCAUUAUAACGGACUGUGAAAAAAAAAAUCAUAAAAAACAGAGAGACCAUAGCAAGUCAAGACAUAAAAAUUUGUUGUUGAAAAAUAAAUUCCAUAAUUUAUAUAAAUUAAUAGAAAUAAAUAAUUGUCACCGUUUUACAAGCAACUUAAACGAAUCAAGAGAAAGCCAAUAUAAAGAUAAAAAACUGUAUAAUGACAUUUCAAUGAAAAAAAAUAGUAUAUCACAAGUUGAGCGAUUAAAUUAUGAAGAUGUUAUAUAUAC
This is a long non-coding RNA of Piliocolobus tephrosceles (Ugandan red Colobus), 1912 nucleotides long. The record is from Ensembl. NCBI's taxonomy places the organism in Eukaryota, Metazoa, Chordata, Mammalia, Primates, Cercopithecidae.